Molecule: long non-coding RNA, 715 nt
Filed under: Homo sapiens (human)
Lineage: Eukaryota; Metazoa; Chordata; Mammalia; Primates; Hominidae
Description: HSALNT0145158
Source: RNAcentral
CCUGUUUCAUGAACAGAACGAGGCCGGAAGCUUGGCUGUGAAGGCAAGUGUGAAUUGUCAAUUUGACAAACGCUUUUGCAAAGAUGACCAAUGCUUCUGUAAUCAGAAAAGAAAUGGUAAAGCUGCCUGCCAGGGUCCUGCUGGAAAUAGGGAUGACGUCAGAGAGAGCCUCAAACCGUCAGCGUUGGCCACCGCCUUGCACUGCGCCCAUGCUUGGAGCCCCGAGCCCCAGGCCAGGCCCUGCCCGCCCGCUCAGCCCUGCUCGCCAUGCUCCCGCCCUUGCUGCUGGGGCGGCCGGCAGGGAGCCCACCUGAGGCGCAGAGGGAGGCCAUUGCCGGGCGCUGCCACCAUGAGGAGUCCCGAGUCCUGGGGAGACAGGUCCUGUGCAGGGAACAGAGGGACGUGUCACUCACGCCUGCCGGGGCCAGAGCUCGACUCCGAGGGACCCCCAGUCACCCCAGUCCUCACCCGGUCUCCUCGCCACGGUUUAAAAUAGCCACACAUGUUCAAAAAUAGAGCAAGAAUGGGCACGUUUCUGAAGACUAUUUAAUGACUGGGACGGCUCAGGAUCCAAGUGGAACGAAAAAGUCUCAUGAUUCUCAUUGAAAAUUGAAUUAUCUCUGGGUGCCGGGAUUCCGGGUGAUUUUUUUUUUUUCUGAAUCCUUUUCAAAAUUGUCCAACGAGUCUGCAAUGAGCAUGGAUUUACCCUUCUCAG